CACAUGCAGUCGAACGAAGCUUGACGGAUGAUUUCUUCGGAAUGAAACCUGAUAUGACUUAGUGGCGGACGGGUGAGUAACACGUGAGCAACCUGCCUUUCAGAGGGGGAUAACGGCUGGAAACGGUCGCUAAUACCGCAUGACGUGUUCGGAUGGCAUCAUCUGAACAUCAAAGAUUUAUCGCUGAAAGAUGGGCUCGCGUCUGAUUAGAUAGUUGGUGGGGUAACGGCCUACCAAGUCUACGAUCAGUAGCCGGACUGAGAGGUUGAACGGCCACAUUGGGACUGAGAUACGGCCCAGACUCCUACGGGAGGCAGCAGUGGGGAAUAUUGCACAAUGGGGGAAACCCUGAUGCAGCAACGCCGCGCGAAGGAUGACGGUUUUCGGAUUGUAAACUUCUUUUCUUAGUGACGAAGACAGUGACGGUAGCUAAGGAAUAAGCAUCGGCUAACUACGUGCCAGCAGCCGCGGUAAUACGUAGGAUGCAAGCGUUAUCCGGAUUUACUGGGUGUAAAGGGAGCGCAGGCGGGACUGCAAGUUGGAUGUGAAAUACCGUGGCUUAACCACGGAACUGCAUCCAAAACUGUAGUUCUUGAGUGAAGUAGAGGCAAGCGGAAUUCCGAGUGUAGCGGUGAAAUGCGUAGAUAUUCGGAGGAACACCAGUGGCGAAGGCGGCUUGCUGGGCUUUAACUGACGCUGAGGCUCGAAAGUGUGGGGAGCAAACAGGAUUAGAUACCCUGGUAGUCCACACUGUAAACGAUGAUAGCUAGGUGUGGGGGGGUCUGACCCCUUCCGUGCCGGAGUUAACGCAAUAAGCUAUCCACCUGGGGAGUACGACCGCAAGGUUGAAACUCAA
RNAcentral lists this ribosomal RNA (856 nucleotides) under uncultured bacterium. Its description in RNAcentral is "bacterial SSU rRNA". It matches the Rfam family "Bacterial small subunit ribosomal RNA", at positions 52 to 904 of the family's 1533-position model. The record is from RNAcentral.